UACGUAGGGGGCGAGCGUUAUCCGGAUUCACUGGGUGUAAAGGGAGCGUAGACGGCCAUGGUAAGCCAGGUGUGAAAGCCUUGGGCUUAACCCGAGGAUUGCAUUUGGAACUAUCAAGCUAGAGUACAGGAGAGGAAAGCGGAAUUCCUAGUGUAGCGGUGAAAUGCGUAGAUAUUAGGAAGAACACCAGUGGCGAAGGCGGCUUCCUGGACUGAAACUGACGCUGAGGCACGAAAGCGUGGGGAGCGAACAGG
Molecule: ribosomal RNA, 254 nt
Filed under: uncultured bacterium
Lineage: Bacteria
Description: partial 16S ribosomal RNA
Rfam family: Bacterial small subunit ribosomal RNA
Source: RNAcentral